GACGAACGCUGGCGGCGUGCCUAAUACAUGCAAGUCGAACGCACUCUCGUUUAGAUUGACGGAGUUUGCUCCUGAUUGAUAAACAUUUGAGUGAGUGGCGGACGGGUGAGUAACACGUGGGUAACCUGCCCUAAAGUGGGGGAUAACAUUUGGAAACAGAUGCUAAUACCGCAUAAAACCUAACACCGCAUGGUGUAGGGUUGAAAGAUGGUUUCGGCUAUCACUUUAGGAUGGACCCGCGGUGCAUUAGUUAGUUGGUGAGGUAAAGGCUCACCAAGACCGUGAUGCAUAGCCGACCUGAGAGGGUAAUCGGCCACACUGGGACUGAGACACGGCCCAGACUCCUACGGGAGGCAGCAGUAGGGAAUCUUCCACAAAGGACGAAAGUCUGAUGGAGCAACGCCGCGUGAGUGAAGAAGGUUUUCGGAUCGUAAAACUCUGUUGUUGGAGAAGAAUGUAUCUGAUAGUAACUGAUCAGGUAGUGACGGUAUCCAACCAGAAAGCCACGGCUAACUACGUG
RNAcentral lists this ribosomal RNA (520 nucleotides) under uncultured bacterium. RNAcentral describes it as "partial 16S ribosomal RNA". It matches the Rfam family "Bacterial small subunit ribosomal RNA", at positions 28 to 507 of the family's 1533-position model. The record is from RNAcentral.